RNAcentral lists this ribosomal RNA (668 nucleotides) under Staphylococcus aureus. RNAcentral describes it as "partial 23S ribosomal RNA". It matches the Rfam family "Bacterial large subunit ribosomal RNA", at positions 1479 to 2144 of the family's 2925-position model. Lineage: Bacteria; Bacillati; Bacillota; Bacilli; Caryophanales; Staphylococcaceae. The record is from RNAcentral.
AGGAUAGGCGAAGCGUGCGAUUGGAUUGCACGUCUAAGCAGUAAGGCUGGGUAUUAGGCAAAUCCGGUACUCGUUAAGGCUGAGCUGUGAUGGGGAGAAGACAUUGUGUCUUCGAGUCGUUGAUUUCACACUGCCGAGAAAAGCCUCUAGAUAGAAAAUAGGUGCCCGUACCGCAAACCGACACAGGUAGUCAAGAUGAGAAUUCUAAGGUGAGCGAGCGAACUCUCGUUAAGGAACUCGGCAAAAUGACCCCGUAACUUCGGGAGAAGGGGUGCUCUUUAGGGUUAACGCCCAGAAGAGCCGCAGUGAAUAGGCCCAAGCGACUGUUUAUCAAAAACACAGGUCUCUGCUAAACCGUAAGGUGAUGUAUAGGGGCUGACGCCUGCCCGGUGCUGGAAGGUUAAGAGGAGUGGUUAGCUUCUGCGAAGCUACGAAUCGAAGCCCCAGUAAACGGCGGCCGUAACUAUAACGGUCCUAAGGUAGCGAAAUUCCUUGUCGGGUAAGUUCCGACCCGCACGAAAGGCGUAACGAUUUGGGCACUGUCUCAACGAGAGACUCGGUGAAAUCAUAGUACCUGUGAAGAUGCAGGUUACCCGCGACAGGACGGAAAGACCCCGUGGAGCUUUACUGUAGCCUGAUAUUGAAAUUCGGCACAGCUUGUACAGGAU